UUUGAUUAUGGCUCAGGACGAACGCUGGCGGCGUGCUUAACACAUGCAAGUCGAACGAGAAUCUACUGAAAGAGUUUUCGGACAAUGGAUGUAGAGGAAAGUGGCGGACGGGUGAGUAACGCGUGAGGAACCUGCCUUGAAGAGGGGGACAACAGUUGGAAACGACUGCUAAUACCGCAUGACGCAUAGAGGUCGCAUGAUCUUUAUGCCAAAGAUUUAUCGCUUCAAGAUGGCCUCGCGUCUGAUUAGCUAGUUGGCGGGGUAACGGCCCACCAAGGCGACGAUCAGUAGCCGGACUGAGAGGUUGAACGGCCACAUUGGGACUGAGAUACGGCCCAGACUCCUACGGGAGGCAGCAGUGGGGAAUAUUGGGCAAUGGGCGCAAGCCUGACCCAGCAACGCCGCGUGAAGGAAGAAGGCUUUCGGGUUGUAAACUUCUUUUAAGAGGGAAGAGUAGAAGACGGUACCUCUAGAAUAAGCCACGGCUAACUACGUGCCAGCAGCCGCGGUAAUACGUAGGUGGCAAGCGUUGUCCGGAUUUACUGGGUGUAAAGGGCGUGCAGCCGGGUCUGCAAGUCAGAUGUGAAAUCCAUGGGCUCAACCCAUGAACUGCAUUUGAAACUGUAGAUCUUGAGUGUCGGAGGGGCAAUCGGAAUUCCUAGUGUAGCGGUGAAAUGCGUAGAUAUUAGGAGGAACACCAGUGGCGAAGGCGGAUUGCUGGACGAUAACUGACGGUGAGGCGCGAAAGUGUGGGGAGCAAACAGGAUUAGAUACCCUGGUAGUCCACACUGUAAACGAUGAAUACUAGGUGUGCGGGGACUGACCCCCUGCGUGCCGCAGUAAACACAAUAAGUAUUCCACCUGGGGAGUACGAUCGCAAGGUUGCAACUCAAAGGAAUUGACGG
This 905-nucleotide ribosomal RNA is filed under the name uncultured Bacillota bacterium. RNAcentral's name for it is "bacterial SSU rRNA". It matches the Rfam family "Bacterial small subunit ribosomal RNA", at positions 12 to 916 of the family's 1533-position model. Lineage: Bacteria; Bacillati; Bacillota. The record is from RNAcentral.